This 570-nucleotide long non-coding RNA is filed under the name Gopherus agassizii (Agassiz's desert tortoise). RNAcentral's name for it is "lncRNA (ENSGAGG00000017798.1)". The record is from RNAcentral. Lineage: Eukaryota; Metazoa; Chordata; Testudines; Testudinidae.
CUUGAGGACACACCAGGACAAAAGGAUAAGAACGCCCAUCUCUAUAACCCGAAUCCUGGGCACAAGCCUCCCUUCAAUGUAUCGGAUCCUACUGCCACAGGCCAGAUGGCAAUCUAUAUGAAUGAGCAACACCUGCCCAGCUCAGCCGAUCCAGCGUCCGAGUAUGAGAGCAUGAUCCCGCAGAGGAGUCAGGUUUCAGGACAGAGAAAAGCAGUUUUUUCUGGUCCACAGGACUGCUCAGCCACAGAUCAGCAGGACACCUACGUCACUAUGUACUCAGUCACACCCUGUCCCCCCAUGAUUUGUCAUCAUGCAAAGUGUGGGAGAAAAGCUGCAGGCUGAAGCCCUUCCUAUUCACUGGAUAUUUAGCAGCUCAUCCUUAUUUUCCUACUGUUCCAUGAAACUUCCAGACUGGCCUUCCCUCUGCCCUCCUUCAGCUGAGCAAUCUGACAGCAGCAAGAUGUGGUGGGGAGGUCCCACUUCCAGCACGAUUGUCUUCAGAAAUGUACUGGCUACUACAAAGUACUUCUCCUUUCCUGAACAUUAGCUUGAAACUGCACAAAGUCUUGG